UGGGGGAUUUUAGGAAGAAGAAAUAGAGAAAAAAAGAAAAUAGAAAUCAAAACUCAUCAUCCUCAUCUAUCUCUCUCCACGCUACUCCCUCAUUCUCUGUAAGUUUCGACAGCUUCUCUACUCCCUCCGUUCAGCCACCGUGCCGUCACCGAGAUAGCUCCGGCGAAUCCACUGUGAUGCAAAUAGCCCACUCUAUUAACCCCAGGUCCCAAUUUUCAUUAGCUCUUCUCAAUUUCAGAAAUUGAGUUGUCAAACCCACUUCCAAAGUAGUUGAAAUUAGAGGCGAACCUGGUGCGAGCUCAAGUAAUAGGGGAAAAGGCCAGAGCCAGGGGCUGAGUAAGCAAGUAAUAGAGUUUUUGUGACGUGUAUAGAGUAUAGAAGUGAGUGAUCUCGCUUGUUGAGCAGCUGCACGUGUGAAGUCACUACGCCCCUUUUUGUCGGUAAAGUUGGAGUUUCACGUGGCAUGCUUAAGUUAACCUUUUGGUUGUAUAUGGUUGAUCUGAAGAUGUAAGGUUAUGAAAUCUUCUUUUGCUAGUGGGGUUGUAAGUAUUUAUCGAAACAGGUCAUCGUUGUUUUCGUUAUGUGUAGUAGUAAAGUUGUGUUAUCAAGAUUAACAAUGUCAGUAUAUAAGAGUGUUGCGCGUUGGGGGUUUGCAAAAUAAUAAAAAAAAAAAAGUUAUGCAGGUUAAAUAGGCAGAUUUUGUUUAGCGAUCGAACCAGAAUGUGACACCACUUAUUUAGUUAAAACUAACCGAGUAAGGGGUGUUACAGUUGAUCUGUUUUUAUUCCGUUCAAUUUGCAUGGAUCUAGUUCUGAUCAGA
Salvia hispanica is the source of this 820-nucleotide long non-coding RNA. RefSeq lists it as uncharacterized. The record is from RefSeq and is a predicted model, not a curated record. NCBI's taxonomy places the organism in Eukaryota, Viridiplantae, Streptophyta, Magnoliopsida, Lamiales, Lamiaceae.